Trichomycterus rosablanca is the source of this 307-nucleotide long non-coding RNA. RefSeq lists it as uncharacterized. NCBI's taxonomy places the organism in Eukaryota, Metazoa, Chordata, Actinopteri, Siluriformes, Trichomycteridae. The transcript has 3 exons. The record is from RefSeq and is a predicted model, not a curated record.
GCACCAUUUUAGAAAAGAAAAAGAAGCCAUGGCCUGAAUGAAGUUUCACUGUAUAAAAGGUUUGUUUUGGCUGCUGGCUUUGCUGCUUUUGGACAAGACAGAAAAAAAGCCUUUUUUCCUGUCAGCCUGAUGAAUGUGGAUGGAGAGGAAGAGAGGUGGUUCUGACGUGAAUCUUUUUACCCACCUGAGGUUGAAACCUGCAAGUUUGAGGCUGCCAUGCCAACAAUGCCAAUUUUGCUGGAUAUGAUGGGAAUCUGCCGUGUCUGUACUCACAAUGUCCAGAACUCACUAUUAGAUGUUACUCUAC